This 253-nucleotide ribosomal RNA is filed under the name uncultured bacterium. RNAcentral describes it as "partial 16S ribosomal RNA". It matches the Rfam family "Bacterial small subunit ribosomal RNA", at positions 524 to 776 of the family's 1533-position model. The record is from RNAcentral.
UACGAAGGGGGCUAGCGUUGUUCGGAAUUACUGGGCGUAAAGCGCACGUAGGCGGCCUACUAAGUCAGGGGUGAAAUCCCGGGGCUCAACCCCGGAACUGCCUUUGAUACUGGUAGUCUCGAGUCCGGAAGAGGUGAGUGGAAUUCCGAGUGUAGAGGUGAAAUUCGUAGAUAUUCGGAGGAACACCAGUGGCGAAGGCGGCUCACUGGUCCGGUACUGACGCUGAGGUGCGAAAGCGUGGGGAGCAAACAGG